CUCUCUAAUGCACACCACAGGGCUCUGGUA
This 30-nucleotide non-coding RNA is filed under the name Rattus norvegicus (Norway rat). The record is from RNAcentral. Lineage: Eukaryota; Metazoa; Chordata; Mammalia; Rodentia; Muridae.